GCCGAAACUUUGAAAAGUUGUCUUAAAGACGUCGCCAGGAGGACGGAAUGUUCUGCGAUUACUCCAAUACGUCACUACAGCACAUGCGCACUGGUUGGAAACAGCGGCAUCCUCUUGAAUAGCAGCUGUGGAGACGAGAUUGACUCACACGACUUUGUUAUCAGAUUCAACCUGGGGCCCCUCCAGAACUACACGAAGGACGUUGGACGAAACGUUAACAUGACCGUUGUUAACAGGGCGAUCGUCACGAAGCUGUUGCCCUUGUUCAGGGAAAACAAAACCUCCGAAGUUCUGAAUCUCCUCCGCGGCCGUUCAACAACUCGGUGUUGCUGGUUGCAAGAAUUAUGGUCUGGUCUUGGCGCGAAACUCAAGUCCCUUCCAACCACCGGUCUGCUCCUUCUGGGGGAGGCGAUAACGUUCUGCGAUCACGUCACAAUGUUCGGUUUCUACCCGUUCAACAAGGACCGUCAGAACCGCACGGUUCCCUACCACUACUGGAGAGACUUCACAGCAUUCCCCUCCAAAACACCUCACAAAUUUGUGUCUGAGUACAGGCUACUUGGGGCUUUAAUCAAUGACGGGAUUAUGAAUCACACAGUGGACUGCAACGUCAUUGAAGGGACCACAGAACAGACGAGGCCGAACGAGACGGAAUCUUUUCAGACGAAAUGAAAGUUUCUUUAUUCUGGACCCCUCUCAUAAGAUAGUUUUGGACAGCUGUGUGCCUCUUGGAGUGAUCUCCAAGCAGAUCGUAACAGCUGGCCCCUAGCUCCACUCUUGAGCAGCAGUUACUAUUUGACACUGGAAUAUCUGCUUGUAGAUUCUUUUAUUGGAUGGCAACUUUUGCUGUUUCUAGGCUGCCUUUUGUAUAUAGCUCUCACACGCAGAAGGCUGCAAGCAACAGGCGCCCUUCGCCACUGCUAAGCAUCGGAUAAUGAUGACGACAUGAUCUUGAUGGAAUUGGUAAUAUUUGCAGAUGGGGGAAGCUAGAACCCCAAAAUCGAAAAAGGUCAUUUUCAGUACUAAUUCAACACUCAGAAGCCCUAUCAUGCCAUGCGGUCACCCCAAAACUGAUGAGAUUCCACCAAAAAAUACACCCCCAUUGGUAACUUUAAACCUUGGCUCAAUGUCUCAAUGUCAAGGGGCAGACAACUGUACAUAGUGCCUCAUGAUCAGCACAAAAGGCGCUCGCGUUUCGCACAAAGG
Branchiostoma belcheri (Belcher's lancelet) is the source of this 1206-nucleotide long non-coding RNA. RefSeq lists it as uncharacterized. The transcript is spliced from 3 exons. The record is from RefSeq and is a predicted model, not a curated record. Lineage: Eukaryota; Metazoa; Chordata; Leptocardii; Amphioxiformes; Branchiostomatidae.